GACGAACGCUGGCGGCGUGCUUAACACAUGCAAGUCGAACGGAAAGGCCCUGCUUUUGUGGGGUGCUCGAGUGGCGAACGGGUGAGUAACACGUGAGUAACCUGCCCUUGACUUUGGGAUAACUUCAGGAAACUGGGGCUAAUACCGGAUAUGAGCUCCUGCUGCAUGGUGGGGGUUGGAAAGUUUCGGCGGUUGGGGAUGGACUCGCGGCUUAUCAGCUUGUUGGUGGGGUAGUGGCUUACCAAGGCUUUGACGGGUAGCCGGCCUGAGAGGGUGACCGGCCACAUUGGGACUGAGAGACGGCCCAGACUCCUACGGGAGGCAGCAGUGGGGAAUAUUGCACAAUGGGCGGAAGCCUGAUGCAGCAACGCCGCGUGCGGGAUGACGGCCUUCGGGUUGUAAACCGCUUUCGCCUGUGACGAAGCGUGAGUGACGGUAAUGGGUAAAGAAGCACCGGCUAACUACGUG
RNAcentral lists this ribosomal RNA (468 nucleotides) under uncultured bacterium. Its description in RNAcentral is "partial 16S ribosomal RNA". It matches the Rfam family "Bacterial small subunit ribosomal RNA", at positions 28 to 507 of the family's 1533-position model. The record is from RNAcentral.